CCUUGAGCACCAUGGGGAGAACGGAGGCGCUGGCUAGCUGCAUGGCGAAGAGGCUGGCUUCUUCGUCGGAGACUUGGGUUGGAGUCAUCUGAGUCUCUCUGGUUGAAUCCAUUUUAUUGAUUUUGGUAUUGGGUUGGUCGGUUGAGAGAGACAGAGAGUAGCGAGGGGGGAGGAGAAGGCUGUGCUAAGUGGCAAUAUAUAUUGAUUUCUUUGCUCACUCACCACCAUUGAUGUGGUAGUACCAAGGCGUUCACCACCCAUGCAGGCCCCGACAUGUAAGGCCGGCCUUGAGGGUAGCCGAAGUAGGUGCCUGCCUAAGGCUUUCACUUUGCAGGGGCCCCAGAUUUUAAAAAAUAUAUAUAAAAAUAAAUUUUACAAUUAAAAUUCAAUAAAAAUAUCAAAAAAUAAUAUCAUAGGCUAUUGAAAAAGAAUUGGUUGAAAAUCAGAUUAUGUAAACUUAAUUAGUAUGACAUAUUUUGAGGAAAAUUCCUUAUGAGGAUUUGUAGGGGACCUCUCUAGCUUUCAAAAGAGACUCAAAAGAGACAUUUUGGGACCAAAUCGAAGUUGAUUUGGUCGGUCAAAAGUCUGAUUUUCUGAUAAGUCUGAAUUUAAGUUUAAAUAGAAACUUUUUAUUUCAAUUUUAUUCUAAGACUUUUUAGGGUUUUAUUUUGUAGUAGUAUAAAUAAGACUUUUUAGCCAUUAGAGUUAGAAGGGAAGGAGAGGAGGAAACGCAUGCAUACUUUAGAGAGUUUUUUAAGUAUAUUUUCUAGGUGUUUUCUAUCCUUAUUCUUAAUAAUAUUUUGUUUUAUGAUUGUUCGCAGGUAGUUUCUUUUGCUAAGACGAAGCCACAAGCUUUAGCAUGAAUAUAUGUGAUUUUAUUAAUUAGCUUAUGAAUGAAUGCAUGUUUGCUUUGAAUUAUUAAUAUACCAUGAUUAAACUAUCUAAUUGUCUUAGUGAUUCGCGACCAUUAGGGUUUUUAGACAAAUAAUUUGAUGCAAUUUUUGUUGAAAUAUCACCUUGAAAUUGAGGAGGGCUUCUUGUGAUUACUAAUUGUAAGUUCACUUAAGGCGAACAUCACGUUCUUAAGGGUUGCAUGGUUUUUCAAAGGGUUUUCACAAAGCUUAAUGAGUCUUGCAUGUUUAUAUUUGAUAUACAUCAUAGACGGAUUGCAAGUUAGAUAUACGUUUUCGCUUGAACAUCACGAGGAAAAUAUGCAUUAGGAAAACCUAACAUUCAAAGCAUGUAUGUAGAAAUUCAUAAGUAAUUGGUAAAAUUGCAUAGGAUUGUUAAGGGGACGGCGGAAUCCUAGACUUUUACAAUUUGAUUUUCAAAACGUUUUUCUUUUGCUUUCUUUACUUUGUCAAAUAUUUAAUUAUUUUUAUUUAAAUUCGUUUUUAUUAUUUUAAAUUCCAAAAUCAACCUUUUCAAAACUUUGUUCUAAAUAAUUAGCUAAGAAUUAGUUUAAAUACAAAUUAUUCAUUCAAUUCAUGUGGAAAACGAUAUUGCUUGAGCCGCUAUACUACGACAAUCUUGUACUCUUGCAAUUAUUUUUAAGUGUUUUUAUCCCUACUUGUGUAGGUGGUAAAAAUCCUAUCAAAAAUCAUAAAUUUUCUCUCAGAAAUUCAAGAAACGAAAAUUCUUUGUCUGUUUUUAUAUGUUGUGGAGACCCAAUCUGACUUGUGUGUUCUUCCAGGUCGAUCUCGGCCGAGGGUUUUAGACCUCUUUAUUUUUCCAUAUUUUCGGAUUAUUCCCUCAUAAUUAGGGAAUUAAAUUGUUCCUAUUAUUCGGUAAAAUCUAAAACGAUUUGCAGCUUUGAUUUGGCCUUUGCAUGUUUGUGGUAUUUGAAAUUAUGGUUUUUUUUGGGGAUUGGAUUUUGGGAUUUAAGUUGAAUUCGUAUGGGUAUUUUUUCAGAAAUUUUUGUUGUUUCCGUGUUGGAAUUAAAAGAACUAUUCAUGUUGGAUUUUUACAUAAGUGUGUCUCAGCUGUUGUUUUCGUUUUGUUGUGUGAUUUUUAUGUGGUGUUUAUAUGUGCAGGCGCUUGUGUUAGUAUUUUGUGUUUUUAUUUUUGUCCCAGCUGCUGAACUUCAUUUUCAAUUUCGUUUAAUUUAUGGAUUAUCAGAUGUUGUGGUUUGGCAUGCAUUGUAAUAUGAUUUGAACGAGUCUAAUUAAUUUUAAUUUUUCAUGAUUCCGGUAGCAAAUUGCAUCGCUGCGGUUUUCUGGGUCUCUUGGACCGUAGUCAGAGAGGAAAAGAACUAGAAAUAGCAAAAGAAAUCAAGGGAUACAAGAAGAUCAUACUUCUGACAUUGCAAAUGGAAUAGAAAUGUUUAACGAAAAUGUUUCUGGUCAUUCGUUUCUUCUCAGCUAUCAAUUUGUUGCUUGGAGUUUACGUUUUUUUUGCACACAAUGCCAAAAAGAAUUAGGAAUAACAAAAACAAUUAGAUCAUAUAAGAUUAUAUUUGUGUCGUUCGCCGCAGCGGAACGCGGGUGUUUUUGCUAGUGUUAUACUCAAAGUCAAUGGGUUAUUUUUUUAUGAUUUUACUGGCUUUUAAUUUUGUUUCUUAUUGUGUUCUAGAAGCUGAACAAAUAUAAUGACAACAUGAAUAACGGGAAAGCCUAUAACAUAAUACCAGUUUGAAUGAACAUCAUGGAUAAUAAUUUGAUAGGUACGUCAUGAAAAUAAUAUGAAUGUCGUUUUAUUAUUCCCUUCUUGCCAUUUUUUCCGUUUUAGGAGAGUUCUUGUGUAUGAGCGGUUGUAUGUCGAAAUCAAUUGACGGGUAAGUUCGGUUGAUAAGAAGAUCCAUGAGGUUUUGAUUUUGUGUUUGUGGCAAUAUAGACAUGUAAUUUGUCCGUCGUAGUUGUCACUUGUAUUAUAGGAAUAUAAUAUUUAAUUGUAAUUAGUGUAAGAUUCCUAUUUCAAUAGGGUGUAACCUUGUAUAUAUUUUGUAAUAUUUUUCACAUAACAGUACAAAGAGUCAUGAUUCUACAUGUUAUCAAAGCAACAAAAUCACUUUCUUAUUAUUAUUUUUCUAACUUAUGAAAACCUACUUAUGUGUAAUGUCCACGUACGGAUACACGAUCACCAUAUAAAAAACCAAAGCAAUAUAAAUGCAGAUGGCAGCAUACCAAGGGCAAAUUAUACUCAAUUCUUCUUAAGAAAUUCAAUGGCAUAGGUGUUGAAGGCAGAGCACACGACUCGAAAGCCUUGGAAUCCAGAUCCCUUAGCCAAGGCCUCGAACUCCUUCUCCGUCCUCUCUUUUCCGCCGGGGUUGUGAGCUAACAUGAUCUCGUCGAUAUGGACAACUCCCUGGUGGCAAGGCUGCUGUCCGGAGCUACUGGAAGAAUGCACUCAGCAACAAUUACCUUCCCAUUGUCAGGGAGCGCAGCAUAGCAGUUCUUCAAAAAUUUCAAGCAAUGCUCGUCACUCCAGUCGUGGCAUAUCCACUGUAAGAUUGCAUACAGGAUUUGAUAUUAGUUCCAAUUAUAUUGAGCAACUAAGCUCCUAUGAGAAAUUAAUAUUAGCACUACAAAAUAAUCAUCGGCUCUUUUUUGAUAAAUAAUAACUCACCUUCAUGAAAAUUGCAUCUCCCUUUGGAACACUUACAAACAUGUCUCCUCCAACAUGCUCCACACCUAUAUUCAACAUCCACUGACCUCAUAUUCGUUAGGAAAAAUGAUAAAUAGUACAAAUAUUAUUUUUAUAUACAAUAACAUUAGGGGAAGAGAAAUUGAACUUGAGAGAUCGAAUGUAAAGGUGAACGCUUUUAAGUAAUUGAACUACAAACAUUAUCAGAAAUGAAGAACAUACCAGGAUAUUGAGGAGCAUCUUCGAUGACAUGAGGCAAGUCGAAAUUAAUGCCCUUAAUCGAAGGGUAUUUAGAGACGAUCAUGUUAAGGAUAGCGCCAGUGCCACCACCAACAUCAACGAUGCAUGUGAGGCCCUCAAAGCCAUUGUAGUUUCUUCAAGAAGUUUCUUCAUGAGAGAGAGAUCGAAUGUAGUUCUCAAGUAGUUCUCAAGAAGUUUCACAUGAGUGAGGUCGAUAAGAUAAACAGCUUGACUUUUAUAUACAUUCAACUAAGCUAACAUGUAGAAUUAGUAUGUAAAGACAUUGCACAAUUAGUAGAAAGAAACUGAAUGUUCUUGAUCACAAAGACAUGGUCGGCAAAAAAGUUAUGUUUCCAUAAGAAACAGAAGCAACAUGUAGUUCACACAAAUUUUUUCCAUUAUAGUUAGCUUUUGAAAAAACUGCUACACCGUUUUACAAAUUCAAUCGUUAAACAUGAUAUUGUAUUCCAAGACAAAGAUAAAGUAUAUGGUUUGUUUACAAAUCAAAGCUAGAAACCCCAAAGCUUUUUGCAUAUUCAUCAUCUCUCUGAUCAUGAAAAAUUAAAAUUAAUAAUAAUCACUCAAAUCAUAUUACAAUAUAUAACAAACUAUGUCAUCUGAUAAUCGAUAAAUUUUAAGAAAAUUUAAAAUGAAAACCAUAAUCUGAAAUGUCUGAAUUUUCUCAAACACUUUCUGAGAAGCCAAACCAAAACAAAAAACAAAAACAAAAACAAAAGGAGAUGAAUGAGAAAUGAGAAACGAGUAAUUACCAUGUCUGGAUUUGGAUGAGGCGGGAAGAGAAGGCCAUGAUCGGUUCACAGUCUUCCUCUUCUUCUUGUAAUUUAUGUUCCUCUUUCAAAUUUCAAAAACAAAAAAUCCACCCAUACUUAAUUCCCAUAAAAAAAAAAUUAAAAAAAAAUAAAAAAACUAGUAUAAAAAUUUCAUGGCACCUAUAAAAAUUCACCGUCACUAGUAUAAAAACCACCCAUACUCCAUUCCAUUUCUUCCCAAAACCCAGGGAUUCGGUGCCAGAACUGCAUCUUCUCAGUUGUUGCAUAUCUUCUUGCUAAUGUGUCAUUGACUUCGCACGCCUAGAAACCAAGCCAUCACAAUGCAAACGCGAGUAUCUCUGAUUAGCAUCGAAGGGGGUUGGCUUGGAAACUAAGAGCUGAGUAUCAUUCAAGGGAUUAUUCUGUAGCGUUGUGCCUACUCCGGAUGAUGCCAAAGUGGCCCCUUGAAGAGGUAAUGAAGGUAGUCAUCUAUCUAGCCUUUGGAAAGGUGCACUAUAUUGCAUGAACAUGAGGAAAUGCGAACAAAUAAGAAUUAUAAAAACUAAAGUGAAUCAAACCCAUGGAUCUUAUUGGGAUUACCUUCAUAAAAGCUAAGCAUUUUGGAAAAAACAUUUUCAAUUAAAAAUAACUUUGAAAAUGUCUUUCUAUUCAAGUAUGUUGGCCCAAAAUUGAAAGUGAUAGAUGCUUUCGAACAGUUUAGUUUGUAACCAUCAUUAACAUUACAAUUUUUUAGAAGUAAUGUAGACGAAUAUAUUUAGUUGCAUCAGGCUCCUUAGUUUCCAAUUGACAUGCCAAUUUAUGAUCCAUUGCUCUUUCUUUUUUAGACAAUAAAUCGAAAACAUUGAUAUAACCAAAUGCAUUCGAUAAUAGAAAACUACGUAAAUUUCCUAAGAGAGUUCUUGAACGGAAGAACUGACAAAGUAUUGAGUUGAUGAUGGCUUUUAUACCUACCCCAAUGAAUAGCUGCUGGAAGAAGUAUCUCAGGAAUAAGCAAUGCCUAUAAUGGAUUGCUCGAAAGCGCAUAUUCUUUGAAUUCCUCACCGCAAGGACAACAGCAAAGAGCACCGAUCUCUGCAUUUCCACCAAUAUAUACAAAAGAGUCAACAUUUGAGUUUAUAUUUUACUUAAAAUAUGAUUUUAGCCCUUCCAACUCAAUUUUCUUCAUAUAAAACCCUACAUAACUUUUUUACUCAAAGAAAACCCAAUGACUAGGAUCCACAUAAGCAAAUUCAUUAAUUUCAAUAUUACUUCACACAUUUUACAUUUUUCACAUGCCUAAAAUACCCCUAUUACAUAUUUGAUGUAGACAAUUAAUUGUAAGGAGAGAGUAAAUGAUUUUGCAACAAGAAAAACAAGACAUUAAUGUUAAAAAUUUAUUGCAUAUUAAUUUUUUUAGAAAGGCUUUGAAUUUUCAUAAACUAUUUGAUUAGUUUUUUUCACGCUACUCUUGAACACUUUUGAAUUUAUCCUUUUUUUAUUAAUAUAUUAGAACAUUGUAUUUCAUUAUCUACAUGCACAUUAAUUUACCUACAACAAUUAUACCAUGAGUGUAAUAUAAUAUCUCUUUUUUACAAUGAUGCAAAAUAAUGUUUAUACCAACAACAAAACGUGCCUAACAUAUGUACUAAUACAUGGAAAAUAAUUUACCUAUAUUAAGAAGAAAUGUAGUUCGAUGCGUAGUAUUAAAAAUACUAUGUUACACCCAUGUUUAUACAACAAUAAAACGUGCCUAACAUAUCUAACAAUACAUGGAAAAUAAUUUAUCUACAAGUUAGAUAAAUGUUAUUUGGUCGGGUGUAUAUAAAUUGUUUUAAUAAUUGGAAAAAUUAAAUAUAACUAGGUGUAGUGAAAUUUUUUUCUAUAAUUAGAACAAAUUAAUUUACCUACCUACUAUUUGAAAUGUUCAUUUCUAAUGAUGCAAAAUGUUCAUUACCUAACUACAAAAUAAUUUCCAAUAAUUUACCCACAACAAUUAUACCAUGGGUGUAAUGUAAUAUCUUUCUUUACAAUGAUACAAAAUAUUGUAUGUAUACCAACAACAAAAUGUGCCUAACAUAAGUACUUGUACAUGGAAAAUAAUUUACCUAUAACAAAAGAAAUGCAGUUUGAUGUAUAAAAUCAACAAUAAAUUUACCUACAAGUUAGAGGAAUGUUAUUUGAUUCAAAAUAUAUAAUAUAGGUGUAGUAUUUUUUUUUAAAUAAUUGGAACACACUAAUUUACCUACCAAUUAAUAUGGGUAAAAUUGCUACAAAAUAUAUCACGAAAAAAAAAACUACUUUUCUAGUUUGACAUGGAUACGGUUAAUGCAAACACUUUUUACAUUUUAUUUCACUUUUUCUACUACUUUUAUUUUGGCAUAAAUUUAGGAAUUUGGAAAACGGACCAUAAAGUAUGAGUGGCAUGAGUGUAAAUAAAUUGUAUUUAUAGGUCAAUAGUGUUCCCAUAUAUUUGCAAAUUUUAAAUUUUGGCUUAAACUGGAUCUUUAAAGAUAGAUGAGUUUUUAUCUAGAAAUAAUAAGUUGUAAGGGCCAAAAUCUAAAGCACCCUAUUUUUUUUUCAUAUUCUGUUUCUUCAUUUUCUUCUAUAUCACUUUCUAUACUCAUAUAUAUACUCAUAGUUUAGUUUAUAUUGGACAGGACCGAUCAUCAUAUGCUCAUAUAUAUGCGUUUGUUUAAUCAAUAAUGCUAUUUAAAGGUACAAAACUAAUCGCAUUUCUGAGACACUCGAAAAUAGCGGUGGACUCUACAAAUACACGCAAAACAUACAUGUGCUAAAGAAUCUAUAACAAUGCGAUUAAUUUUGGGAGUCUAUAUAGUAUUACUUGUUAUUUAUUUAUUGCCUAUCUGAUUAUGGCUUCUCAUGGCAGGUAGGAAUGCUUCUGUAAUUUGGUUGAUUUAAUUUCUUGAUCAUAAUACCAAUUUGAAUGAACAUCAUGGAUAAUAAUUUGACAGCUACGUCAUGAAAAUAAUAUGAAUGUCAUUUUAUCAUUUCCUUUUUGCCAUUUCUCUGAUUUAGGAGAGUUCUUGUGUUGUGUAUAAGCGAUAUGUCGAAAUCUAUUGACGGGUAAGUUCGAGUGAUAAGAAAAUCCAUGAGGUCCGAUUUUGUGUUUGUGGCAAUACAGACAUGUAAUUUGUCCGUUGUACACUAGAUUCUUUCAUUUUUUAGACCCUAUUGCAUGGGUAUGAUUCCAAAUUUAUAACAUACAAGCAUGUUAGAAUAGAAUUAAUUAAUCCAGAAUUUUAUUCAUAGUUGUCACAUGUAUUAUAGGAAUGUAAUAUUUAAUUGUAAUUAGUGUAGGAUCCUAUUUCAAUAGGGACUAAUGUAACCUUGUAUAUUUAUUGUAAUAUUUUUCACACAACAAUACAAAGAGUCAUAAUUCUACAUGUUAUCAAAGCAACAAAAUCACUUUCUUAUUAUUUUUUUGUAACAUAUGAAAACCUACUUAUCGUGUAACAUCCACGUAUGGAUACACGAUCACCAUAUAAAAAACCAAAGCAAUAUAAAUGCAGAUGGCAACAUACCAAAGGUAAAUUAUACUCAAUUCUUCUUAAGAAAUUCAAUGGCAUAGGUGUUGAAAGCAGAGCACACGACUCGAAAGCCUUGGAAUCCAGAUCCCUUAGCCAAGGCCUCGAACUCCUUCUCCGUCCUCUCUUUUCCGCCGGGGUUGUGAGCUAACAUGAUCGCGUCGAUAUGGACAACUCCCUUGGUGGCAAGGCUACUGUCCGGAGCUACCGGAAGAAUGCACUCAGCAACAAUUACCUUCCCAUUGUCUGGGAGCGCAGCAUAGCAGUUCUUCAAAAAUUUCAAGCAAUGCUCGUCACUCCAGUCGUGGCAUAUCCACUGUAAGAUUGCAUAAAGGAUUUGAUAUUAGUUCCAAAUAUAUUGAGCAACUAAGCUCCUAUGAGAAAUUAAUAUUAGCACUACAAAUAAUCAUCGGUUCUUUUUUGAUAAAUAAUAACUCACCUUCAUGAAAAUUGCAUCUCCCUUUGGAACACUUACAAACAUGUCUCCUCCAACAUGCUCCACACCUAUAUUCAACAUCCAUUGACCUCAUAUUCAUUAGGAAAAAUGAUAAAUAGUACAAAUAUUAUUCUUAUAUGCAAUAAUAUUAGGGGAAGAGAAAUUGAACUUGAGAGAUCGAAUGUAAAGGUGAGUGCUUUUAAGUAAUUGAACUACGAACAUUAUUAGAAAUGAAGAACAUACCAGGAUAUUGGGGAGCAUCUUCGAUGACAUGAGGCAAGUCGAAGUUAAUGCCCUUAAUCGAAGGGUAUUUAGAGACGAUCAUGUGAAGGACAGCGCCGGUGCCACCACCAACAUCAACGAUGGAUGUGAGGCCCUCAAAGCCAUUGUAGUUCUCAAGAAGUUUCUUCAUGGUAAUGGUAGAGUGGUCAGCCAUUCCCUUGUUGAAGACCUUGUUGAAUCUGGGGUCAGUGCCAUGGUACUCAAAAGCAGUCAUUCCGUAGGCCUUGUUGAAUGGGAUACCUCCUUCAAGGACUGCAUCUUUCAAGUUGUACCUGCACAAACCCGAAACAAGCAUGCAUGACUCAUUUGUGUUUAAAGCUUAAUCUACAAGGAAAGGGCCGGACCCUUGAAAUUUGAUUCAACAACUACAAAUAAGAAGGCCCCUUUAAAAAUUAUAAUAACUUUAAUCGUUGAAUCAAAUAUCAAUAGUCUGAAUAAGUGGACUUGAUAGACUUGAUGGAAGGGAUCCGGAGAGAAUCAUUUUCCAAUCUACAAUACCAAAGUACAAGCAAUCUUGUAAACUAGGCCAACCGACAUUCCACGUGUUUCAAGGCCCGCAUAACUCACAAUAAUCAGAUAAUUUAUGGGUUUGUUAAAACAACUCUCCCUUCUUUUAUUGAAUUCGGAUCCUCUUUGUAGGAAUAUUAAGAAUCUUAAAGAUUCGUAAAUCGUAUCAAUUCAUUGUACAUCGUACGAUCAUAAAACUAUUUGCAUUUUUUUAUUUAAAAUUAAACACAAACAACACUUGAUGAAAUCUGACCGUACGAUCACAGAUCUUCAGGAUUCUCACAAAGAAGAUUCAGAGAGAAUUUGUUGGUCUUUUAUUGACAUGGAUUGCGUCAAUCAGUUAGUAAAAUAGUAUCCUUUUAUAUUUGAGUACAAAUUAUCAUUUUUAUAGUUUUGAUAAAAAUGAGGGAGGAAGUUAAUUUAAAUUUCACCUCUAGCUAAUUGACGGAACUUACACUCCAUAUAGAAGAAUAAAAUAGUUAAAACAUACAGUUGUCCUAAGGAAAAAGAUUGAUAAGAAAUAAACGUGUAACAUCGAAACACUUUGGUGUGGUUGUUGAAGUGGUUUUACCAACUUUCCACUCCUAAUUUGAUUUAAGUGGAAAUCAUAAAACAGGUGACCAGUCAUCAUAUAGCGUAAUGCUAGAAAAAUAAAAUUUAAAAAUAAAAUUUACAAAUUAAUUGAUAUGAAAAUUAAUUGUUGAAUUAUUACUUAAAAGAUGAGACAUUAAUAAACAUGAUUUUUUUUUAUUAAUGACAUAUAAUUUAGUUUAAAAUUUUUAUUUAAAAUUUGGUUUCUUUAAAAGUCUGACAAGAAGUCAAUUUGGAGUCUUGUCCGUCCCCAACCGCCUAAUGGGCCAAAAGUAAUAUGAACAACGAAGAAAACAUUAGGAAAAAUAAAUUUUAACGAAAAAGUUUUGAUAUUUUUUAUUUUAAUAAAAAAAUUAUAAUUUUACAUUAAAAAAUCAUUUAUAAUACUAUUCAUUUUAUUUUUUAUUUUAUCUUAAAAUUUUCAAACCAAUUUUUAUUAGUUUUUCUUAGGAAAAAAUAGAGAACAAUCACAUAUUAAAGCCAUAACUCACAGUUCGUACGUAACAUUUUAUGAAUAUUGUAUUAUUAUCAACCUAUUUGAACCCCAUUAAUUAAUGUUUGUUAACGAUCAAAUUAAGAUGAUAAAUAAAGAAGAAGAAUGGUAAUUACCAGCUCUCCAUAAGGACCUUGUCCUGAUUCAUGAGGCAGAGAGAACCAAUGGAAGCACCAUCCUCGCUCUUUGUCAAGAACUUGCAGACGGGGCCGAGGCCGUACAGCCGCUCGACUUUGCCGUCGGGAAGUGUGCGGAGGGAGUAAGUGAGGAUAGAGUAGCUGGCCAGGACGCGCAGCAUGCGGUCCAGCAUGACGGAGGCGUCAGGGUUCUUGGUCGGCAGCUGCGAAGAUAAGUCAGCCGGAGAAACAAAAGCGCCAGGCCCGGCUUUUGCCAUGAUCUCGAGGAGGUCGAGCUCGAUGGCUGCCUUGAGCACCAUGGGGAGGACGGAGGCGCUGGCUAGCUGCAUGGCGAAGAGGUUGGCUUCUUCAUCGGAGACUUGGGUUGGAGUCAUCUGAGUCUCUGGGGUCGAACCCAUUUUUUGGAUUUGGUGUUGUUGAUGGUGUUGGUGUUGGUGGGGAGAGAGAGAGAGAGAGAGAGAGAGAGAGAGAGAGAGAGAGGAGGAGGAGGAGGAGGAUGAGGAGGACUGAGGGUGGAAGAGAUGGUGUGUGCUAAGUGGUAAUAUAUAUGUAUUUCCUUGCUCACCCACCGCCAUUGCUGUAAAAGCAAGGUGUCCACCACCCAUGCAGGACCCCACAUGCGUCCCACACGUCUUUACCUUUUAGAAAGCUAAUUAAAAUAAUUUCAAUUCUUUAUCUGCUUUUGUUUUAUUUCUUUUUUAGGAGGGUGUGUAGUCGGAAUUCACACUCAAUAUGAAGGAUUUGUACAAGCUUUGUUAGAUUAGUUGUUUAAUUAAGAGUAUAUAUUUAAUUUGUGUUUGAUUUUUCUCCCCUUAAUUUUGUUGUUUAAAAAGAAAUAUGAAUAAUUUACAAAUCCAAACUUUCCUAUUAAAAAGUGCAAUUUUUCUUCGAAUGUUAUACUCAAGGUCAAUGGGUUUUGAUUAAAGGGAAAGCCUGUCACAUCAUUCCACUAUAUAGUAUACAUCACCAGUUCGAGCAUAAGCAUGCCAAAAUAAAGAUGACAAAAAAGGUAAACCCUUCAAUCCAACGGGGAAAAAACUAAGCAAGUUUUUCUACAGAAAUACAGCAUGACAUGACAAGGGAUAAUUGGAGAAAAGAAUAGUGAAUUGUCCCUCCGAAGUCCUUCUAGCUGGUGAUAGAGCAUAAAUUUACAAUAAGGUCGUUAUUAUUUAUUUAUUUAUUUUUAAUAGUGUGUGAAAUGAUUUUAAUCUUCAAUUUUCUCUUUAGUUGAUUCGGCAAAUUUUAUAAGAUGAUAAUAAGGACAAUAAUGUUUUAUAGCAUUGAAUGUUGAGCGAUCAAGCAUUAAUAUAUUUCAUAUGAGUCUCCUCAUAGUAUUCUUGAUCAAGCAUCAUAUUUUCUUCAAGCUCGAAAGGUAACAUAUACUGAUUGAGAGACUUUUAGCCUAAAUGAUCCAUAAGAUUGGUAUAACUCCUCACUCUAGUUCCUGACAUUGAAAAUUGAUAUAAUUGGUCUUUGAGUUUGUCCCCUGUAAAUCAUUUUUUGUCAUUCUGUGAAAAAAUAUGUCAAUAUCAUCGUUAAAUGGAGGGGUUAGUUUGACAAAUAUCAUCAUUAAAAAGAUUGUUGUGUGGUCGUCCACAUGACAAUUUAACGAGGAUAGUGGCAAAUUUUUCACGGAAUAAAAUAAUUUACAAUGAACAAACUCAAAAACCAUUUCUAUUGAUUUUCAUUAUUAAGGAUCAAAUUGAGGAUUAUGCUAAUUGCCUAAAAGCCAUGAUUUAGAUGGUAUCAUUGUCAUGGUUUGUGUCAUCGUGACUCAUCCAUGAUGUAUGAAAGGGAUAGGUAUUUCUAUUGGAAAUUUACAAAUAAGAACAAAAAUAAAAAACAAGAGUGUGACAAUUUAAUAAGGAGUUGGCCCGGUAUCUUAUAAUAUGCUAUUACCUAAGCUGCGGUGCAAGAUCAAAUCAGUUGGUGAGUGGAACCUAUCAAUAUUCAUUUCCAAACGUUAUAAUACUUGACCUAAUUUAUAUAAAUAUGGUGGUGUUACUUAGAAGACAACAAUUAUGCCUUCUCCAUACUGAUUCAGGUAUUGUAUUAGGGGUGUGCUAUCCACACACCCCAAAUUACUUCCCACACACCUCUUGUUAAUUUCUGUCCGUUGAUCUUCUUCAAUUCAUCUGAUCCGACUGCUGAAAAUUAAAAGGGUGUGUGAGAAGUAAAAUGGGGUGUGUGGAUAUCACACCCCUUGUAUUAUUGAUUUCUCCAACUCCACUUAAGCUGAAAGGUGUAAAACGUUUAGUUCUCAUGCUUCAUUGGGACAUCAUUCGCACAUGAAUUGUGUGAGUAAGUUGAUUAUCGUCAUUCUUGUUUUGUGAGUUUUACAUGCAUGAACAGUCUGAAUUAGUUUAAAUCUAUAUUAUACGACGUUAAAUUAAAUAAUCUAUGAAAAUUCAGAAAAAGAAAACAGUUUAAACAUAGACAUCGAAUCUUACUUCAUAUUAAUGUUAAUAGUUGCUCAAAUUAAUUAAUUAACAAACUCCUGUGUUGAAAAUUGAAACAAAUGAAAACUCCAUUUGGUAUUAAUUAGGUUUACAAAUGGUAUUAUAUAAUUGGUCGCGGUUGGACAAAUCAAAGGGGAUCACAUCUCACCUAAUCUUUGAACAUGUAGAUGUCGGAUCAGACGCAGCUAUUGGUGAAAAAAUCAAAGUGCUACUUCCACAUCUUAAUUGGACCCCAUCUUUUUCUGGAACAAACUUAACAUUUCCAGAGACCCAGACCCUGAGAUGUAAAAAGAAAAAGUUCGACAAAAUUCAGAACCAGAAGAGGUCCAAACUCCUAAGGUGUCACCUCUUUAACAAAACAUCCUCACCAACCCUGCCAACAAAAUCCUCAUUUCAGGAUUUGUAAAUCAUGUAUAUUUAUCGUAUAUCGUACAAUCAAUUUUUGUUAAAUACUGUUUGUGUUCAAUUUUAAAUAAAAAAACUUAAAACAAUUAAUGAUCUCACGAUAUACGAUAAACGAAUAUAAUUUAUAGAUCUCCAAAAUUCUCACAAAAAGAAUCUGAAAAGAAUCCAAAUUCCCAACCCUGCAAAAGCAUUAAGAAUUAUAUAAAAAAAGAUUAUUAGCUUAACGUGUUUGAUUAUAAUAUUUGGUCAACAAUCAAAUGGAAUAAAGGAGGAUACGUUAAGAUAUAAGGGUAUUAUAUAUAUUAAUUGUAAUGUUCCACCAAAUACAUUAUAAUUGGUAUAAGAUAUAUAAGUAGGAGUCAACACUAGAAAUCGAAAACCGAAGCCAAAAUACGAAUUAAGCUGGACCGCAUUGAACAGUUAAGUUUUUGCAAUUUUGAUACGAUUUUGAUUUGCAACCCAACCACAUCACAAAUGAAAAAUGACUGAUUCCUAACAAUCAUACGUUUGUACGUUUCCUUUCUUUGCUGCUACUUUAUCUAAUCUCUUUUGUGGUGAAUUAUUUCAAAGGGUCAAAUCUUUGAUGCAUAUAGCUCUACAAUUGAUGAAAGUUAAUUGUAGGUGGAGAG
This 14076-nucleotide long non-coding RNA is filed under the name Malus domestica (apple). Its description in RNAcentral is "long non-coding RNA (MDOM_LNC001255)". The record is from RNAcentral. Lineage: Eukaryota; Viridiplantae; Streptophyta; Magnoliopsida; Rosales; Rosaceae.